GCUGGCGGCGUGCUUAAUACAUGCAAGUCGAACGAGAAAGCCCGAUUUCGGUUGGGCGAGUAAAGUGGCGAACGGGUGAGUAACACGUGGAAAAUCUGCCCUUGAAUCUGGGAUAAUCCUUCGAAAGGGGGUCUAAUACCGGAUAAUACCUCGAAAUGGCAUCUUUUCGAGGUCAAAGGCGGGGCAACCUGCCGUUUGGGGAUGAUUCCGCGCUCCAUUAGCCUGUUGGUGAGGUAACGGCUCACCAAAGCUACGAUGGAUAGCCGACCUGAGAGGGUGACCGGCCACACUGGGACUGAGAUACGGCCCAGACUCCUACGGGAGGCAGCAGUAGGGAAUAUUGCGCAAUGGACGAAAGUCUGACGCAGCAACGCCGCGUGGGUGAUGAAGCAUCUUGGUGUGUAAAACCCUGUCAGUGGGGAAGAAACGCAUGGGUAGUAACUGAUCUAUGCCUGACGGUACCCACAGAGGAAGUCCCGGCUAACUCCGUGCCAGCAGCCGCGGUAAUACGGGGGGGACGAGCGUUGUUCGGAUUUACUGGGCGUAAAGGGCGCGUA
This 557-nucleotide ribosomal RNA is filed under the name uncultured bacterium. RNAcentral describes it as "bacterial SSU rRNA". It matches the Rfam family "Bacterial small subunit ribosomal RNA", at positions 35 to 573 of the family's 1533-position model. The record is from RNAcentral.